UCCUGGUUUCCCAGGCAGUCUCAUCAGAGUGCCCAUAAAAUGGUAGCAACUGACGACAGGAGUUGCGCUCGUUAUAGGACUUAACCCAACAUCUCACGACACGAGCUGACGACAGCCAUGCAGCACCUGUGAAAUUGUCUAGACCGAAGCCUAGAAGAUCGUAUUUCUACGACUGUCAAAAACAUGUCAAGCCUAGGUAAGGUUCCUCGCGUAGUGUCGAAUUAAACCACAUGUUCCACCGCUUGUGCGAGCCCCCGUCAAUUCCUUUGAGUUUUAGUCUUGCGACCGUAGUUCCCAGGCGGAUCACUUAACGCGUUAGCUACGACACUGAUCCCGCUAAGCGGAACCAACAUCAAGUGAUCAUCGUUUACAGCGUGGACUAC
RNAcentral lists this unclassified non-coding RNA (383 nucleotides) under uncultured bacterium. RNAcentral describes it as "contains 16S-23S intergenic spacer region". The record is from RNAcentral.